UUAAGCGACUAAGCGUACACGGUGGAUGCCCUGGCAGUCAGAGGCGAUGAAGGACGUGCUAAUCUGCGAUAAGCGUCGGUAAGGUGAUAUGAACCGUUAUAACCGGCGAUUUCCGAAUGGGGAAACCCAGUGCAAUUCGUUGCACUAUCAUUACGUGAAUACAUAGCGUAAUGAAGCGAACCGGGGGAACUGAAACAUCUAAGUACCCCGAGGAAAAGAAAUCAACCGAGAUUCCCCCAGUAGCGGCGAGCGAACGGGGAGCAGCCCAGAGUCUGAAUCAGCUUGUGUGUUAGUGGAACGGUCUGGAAAGUCCGACGGUACAGGGUGAUAGUCCCGUACACCAAAACACACAGGUUGUGAACUCGAAGAGUAGGGCGGGGACACGUGGUAUCCUGUCUGAAUAUGGGGGGACCAUCCUCCAAGGCUAAAUACUCCUGACUGACCGAUAGUGAACCAGUACCGUGAGGGAAAGGCGAAAAGAACCCCGGCGAGGGGAGUGAAAAAGAACCUGAAACCGUGUACGUACAAGCAGUGGGAGCCUCUUUAUGGGGUGACUGCGUACCUUUUGUAUAAUGGGUCAGCGACUUAUAUUCUGUAGCAAGGUUAACCGAAUAGGGGAGCCGAAGGGAAACCGAGUCUUAACUGGGCCGUUAAGUUGCAGGGUAUAGACCCGAAACCCGGUGAUCUAGCCAUGGGCAGGUUGAAGGUUGGGUAACACUAACUGGAGGACCGAACCGACUAAUGUUGAAAAAUUAGCGGAUGACUUGUGGCUGGGGGUGAAAGGCCAAUCAAACCGGGAGAUAGCUGGUUCUCCCCGAAAGCUAUUUAGGUAGCGCCUCGUGAACUCAUCUUCGGGGGUAGAGCACUGUUUCGGCUAGGGGGUCAUCCCGACUUACCAACCCGAUGCAAACUGCGAAUACCGAAGAAUGUUAUCACGGGAGACACACGGCGGGUGCUAACGUCCGUCGUGAAGAGGGAAACAACCCAGACCGCCAGCUAAGGUCCCAAAGUCAUGGUUAAGUGGGAAACGAUGUGGGAAGGCACAGACAGCCAGGAUGUUGGCUUAGAAGCAGCCAUCAUUUAAAGAAAGCGUAAUAGCUCACUGGUCGAGUCGGCCUGCGCGGAAGAUGUAACGGGGCUAAACCAUGCACCGAAGCUGCGGCAGCGACACUAUGUGUUGUUGGGUAGGGGAGCGUUCUGUAAGCCGUUGAAGGUGGCCUGUGAGGGUUGCUGGAGGUAUCAGAAGUGCGAAUGCUGACAUAAGUAACGAUAAUGCGGGUGAAAAACCCGCACGCCGGAAAGACCAAGGGUUCCUGUCCAACGUUAAUCGGGGCAGGGUGAGUCGACCCCUAAGGCGAGGCCGAAAGGCGUAGUCGAUGGGAAACAGGUUAAUAUUCCUGUACUUGGUGUUACUGCGAAGGGGGACGGAGAAGGCUAUGUUGGCCGGGCGACCGGUUGUCCCGGUUUAAGCGUGUAGGUGUGUGUUCCAGGUAAAUCCGGAAUGCUUUAACACUGAGGCGUGAUGACGAGGCACCACGGUGCUGAAGUGACAAAUGCCCUGCUUCCAGGAAAAGCCUCUAAGCAUCAGGUAACACGAAAUCGUACCCCAAACCGACACAGGUGGUCAGGUAGAGAAUACCAAGGCGCUUGAGAGAACUCGGGUGAAGGAACUAGGCAAAAUGGUGCCGUAACUUCGGGAGAAGGCACGCCUGAUAUGUAGGUGAAGUGAUUUACUCCAUGGAGCUGAAAUCAGUCGAAGAUACCAGCUGGCUGCAACUGUUUAUUAAAAACACAGCACUGUGCAAACACGAAAGUGGACGUAUACGGUGUGACGCCUGCCCGGUGCCGGAAGGUUAAUUGAUGGGGUUAUCCGUAAGGAGAAGCUCUUGAUCGAAGCCCCGGUAAACGGCGGCCGUAACUAUAACGGUCCUAAAGGUAGCGAAAUUCCUUGUCGGGUAAGUUCCGACCUGCACGAAUGGCGUAAUGAUGGCCAGGCUGUCUCCACCCGAGACUCAGUGAAAUUGAACUCGCUGUGAAGAUGCAGUGUACCCGCGGCAAGACGGAAAGACCCCGUGAACCUUUACUAUAGCUUGACACUGAACACUGGUCCUUGAUGUGUAGGAUAGGUGGGGAGGCUUUGAAGUGUGGACGCCAGUCUGCCAUGGAGCCGACCUUGAAAUACCACCCUUUAAUGGCUGGUGUUCUAACGUGGGCCCGUGAUCCGGGUUGCGGACAGUGUCUGGUGGGUAGUUUGACUGGGGCGGUCUCCUCCCCAAAGAGUAACGGAGGAGCACGAAGGUUAGCUAAUCCUGGUCGGACAUCAGGAGGUUAGUGCAAAGGCAUAAGCUAGCUUUGACUGCGAGAGUGACGGCUCGAGCAGGUGCGAAAGCAGGUCUUAGUGAUCCGGUGGUUCUGAAUGGAAGGGCCAUCCGCUCAACGGAUAAAAGGUACUCCGGGGAUAACAGGCUGAUACCGCCCAAGAGUUCAUAUCGACGGCGGUGUUUGGCACCUCGAUGUCGGCUCAUCACAUCCUGGGGCUGAAGUAGGUCCCAAGGGUAUGGCUGUUCGCCAUUUAAAGUGGUACGCGAGCUGGGUUUAGAACGUCGUGAGACAGUUCGGUCCCUAUCUGCCGUGGGCGCUGGAGAAUUGAGGGGGGCUGCUCCUAGUACGAGAGGACCGGGAGUGGACGCAUCACUGGUGUUCGGGUUGUCAUGCCAAUGGCACUGCCGGUAGCUAAAUGCGGGAAGAGAUAAGUGCUGAAAGCAUCUAAGCACGAAACUUGCCCCGAGAUGAGUUCUCCCUGACCCUUUAAGGGUCCUGAAGGAACGUUGAAGACGACGACGUUGAUAGGCCGGGUGUGUAAGGCGCAGCGAUGCGUUGAGCUAACCGGUACUAAUGAACCGUGAGGCUUAACCUU
This 2917-nucleotide ribosomal RNA is filed under the name Citrobacter freundii. Its description in RNAcentral is "bacterial LSU rRNA". It matches the Rfam family "Bacterial large subunit ribosomal RNA". Lineage: Bacteria; Pseudomonadati; Pseudomonadota; Gammaproteobacteria; Enterobacterales; Enterobacteriaceae. The record is from RNAcentral.